CUGCUCACUUCAGCAGCAUAUAUACUACAAUUGGAACAAUACAAAGAAGAUUAGUAUGGCCUCUGAGCAAGAAUGACAUGCAAAUUCCCGAGGCAUUCCAUAUUUUU
This is a small nuclear RNA of Artibeus jamaicensis (Jamaican fruit-eating bat), 107 nucleotides long. The record is from RefSeq and is a predicted model, not a curated record. NCBI's taxonomy places the organism in Eukaryota, Metazoa, Chordata, Mammalia, Chiroptera, Phyllostomidae.